UGGUGCACUGAGCUGUGCAUUGCCUGGCUGCAUCUCAGCGGGUCACUCACGUUUUUGUUUGAUUUUUAGGCAGUCCUGACUAAUCUAAGCUCGGUGAACCCCACGCAGCUGAACGGAGCUUGCUUUGAGCAGCCUGUUCCCCUGAAGCACGGAGAUGUGUUAACCAUUAUUGAUCGUUCUUUCAGGUUUGAAUAUCCUCUGCAAUCAACACCAGAAAAGGGGCAUUCCAGGUCUUCAAAAGAUGAAACUCUGCAGGUAAUUUUGGGGCUGUGGGUUUUUAAUUUAUAAAUACAUUUGUACUAGUGAGAUGUUUUUCCGUUUCCUUGUUCUGUUUUCUUAUUAAAAGAAAUUGUCCUUUUCUUAUUAAAAGUAACUUUUCAGCCCUAAACUGCCUUUCUGUCUAAAAAUACAAAGAAACACUUUCAGAUAAAUACUUUUAAAAACUUAGUUAUUUUUAGUCAAAAUUUUAGUAAAAAAUUUGUCUGGUUUUCGUAAUAGAUAA
Molecule: long non-coding RNA, 502 nt
Filed under: Lonchura striata (white-rumped munia)
Lineage: Eukaryota; Metazoa; Chordata; Aves; Passeriformes; Estrildidae
Description: domestica (Bengalese finch) lncRNA (ENSLSDG00000008652.1)
Source: RNAcentral